This 299-nucleotide ribosomal RNA is filed under the name uncultured eukaryote. Its description in RNAcentral is "partial 18S ribosomal RNA". It matches the Rfam family "Eukaryotic small subunit ribosomal RNA", at positions 592 to 977 of the family's 1831-position model. The record is from RNAcentral.
CAACAGCAUAUAUUAAAGUUGUUGCGGCUAAAAGGUCAUAGUUGGAUUUCUACCGAGGACGACAGGUCCGCCCUCUGGGGGAGUAAUCUGGCUCGGCCCGUGCAUCUUCUUGGAGGGCGUCGUUGCAGUAUGGAGUAAUAAGAUAGGACAUCGCUUCUAUUUUGUUGGUUUCUAGAGAUGAGGUAAUGAUUAAUACGGGGUAGUUGGGGGCAUUGGUAUUUAAUUGUCAAAGGUGAAAUUCUUGGGUUUGUUAAGGGCGGACUACUGCGAAAGCAUGUGCCAAGGAUGUUAUCAUUGAG